UCGAGAAUAAUUCACAAUGGGGGCAACCCUGAUGGUGCAACGCCGCGUGGAGGAUGACGGUCUUCGGAUUGUAAACUCCUGUCAUCCGGGAGAAAGACCUGGCUGUGAAUAGCAGACAGGGUUGAUAGUACCGGAAGAGGAAGGGACGGCUAACUUCGUGCCAGCAGCCGCGGUAAUACGAAGGUCCCAAGCGUUGUUCGGAAUCACUGGGCGUAAAGGGUGCGUAGGCGGUUUGGUAAGUCAGAUGUGAAAUCCCGGGGCUCAACCCCGGAACUGCAUCCGAUACUGCCGGACUAGAGGACUGGAGAGGUGACUGGAAUUCUCGGUGUAGCAGUGAAAUGCGUAGAGAUCGAGAGGAACACUCGUGGCGUAAGCGAGUCACUGGACAGUAUCUGACGCUGAGGCACGAAGGCCAGGGUAGCGAAAG
This 427-nucleotide ribosomal RNA is filed under the name uncultured Luteolibacter sp. Its description in RNAcentral is "bacterial SSU rRNA". It matches the Rfam family "Bacterial small subunit ribosomal RNA", at positions 355 to 774 of the family's 1533-position model. Lineage: Bacteria; Pseudomonadati; Verrucomicrobiota; Verrucomicrobiia; Verrucomicrobiales; Verrucomicrobiaceae. The record is from RNAcentral.